RNAcentral lists this ribosomal RNA (180 nucleotides) under uncultured Glomeromycotina. RNAcentral describes it as "partial small subunit ribosomal RNA". The record is from RNAcentral. Lineage: Eukaryota; Fungi; Glomeromycota.
GACCUGGCCGGGUGGUCUUGCCGAAAGGUAAGCACUGCUUUUGGUCGGGUCUUUCCUUCUGGGGAACCAGCGUGCGCUUGAUUGAGUGCGUUGGGGAUCCAGGACUUUUACUUUGAAAAAAUCAGAGUGUUCAAAGCAGGCAUAUUUGCUCGAAUACAUUAGCAUGGAAUAAUAGAAUAG